Molecule: ribosomal RNA, 253 nt
Filed under: uncultured bacterium
Lineage: Bacteria
Description: partial 16S ribosomal RNA
Rfam family: Bacterial small subunit ribosomal RNA
Source: RNAcentral
UACAGAGGUCUCGAGCGUUAGGCGGAAUCACUGGGCUUAAAGCGUGUGUAGGUGGAUGCCUAAGUACCUUGUGAAAUCCCACAGCUUAACUGUGGAACUGCUUGGUAUACUGGGUGUCUUGAGUCACUCAGGGGCGAGCGGAACAAAUGGUGGAGCGGUGAAAUGCGUAGAUAUCAUUUGGAACGCCAAUGGUGAAAACAGCUCGCUGGGGGUUUGCAGACGCUGAGACACGAAAGCCAGGGGAGCGAACGGG